UUAAGCGACUAAGCGUACACGGUGGAUGCCCUGGCAGUCAGAGGCGAUGAAGGGCGUGCUAAUCUGCGAUAAGCGCCGGUAAGGUGAUAUGAACCGUUAUAACCGGCGAUACCCGAAUGGGGAAACCCAGUGUGUUUCGACACACUAUCAUUAACUGAAUCCAUAGGUUAAUGAGGCGAACCGGGGGAACUGAAACAUCUAAGUACCCCGAGGAAAAGAAAUCAACCGAGAUUCCCCCAGUAGCGGCGAGCGAACGGGGAGGAGCCCAGAGCCUGAAUCAGCAUGUGUGUUAGUGGAAGCGUCUGGAAAGGCGCGCGAUACAGGGUGACAGCCCCGUACACAAAAGCGCAUGUGCUGUGAGCUCGAUGAGUAGGGCGGGACACGUGGUAUCCUGUCUGAAUAUGGGGGGACCAUCCUCCAAGGCUAAAUACUCCUGACUGACCGAUAGUGAACCAGUACCGUGAGGGAAAGGCGAAAAGAACCCCGGCGAGGGGAGUGAAAAAGAACCUGAAACCGUGUACGUACAAGCAGUGGGAGCACCCUUUGGGGUGUGACUGCGUACCUUUUGUAUAAUGGGUCAGCGACUUAUAUUCUGUAGCAAGGUUAACCGCAUAGGGGAGCCGGAGGGAAACCGAGUCUUAAUUGGGCGUUAAGUUGCAGGGUAUAGACCCGAAACCCGGUGAUCUAGCCAUGGGCAGGUUGAAGGUUGGGUAACACUAACUGGAGGACCGAACCGACUAAUGUUGAAAAAUUAGCGGAUGACCUGUGGCUGGGGGUGAAAGGCCAAUCAAACCGGGAGAUAGCUGGUUCUCCCCGAAAGCUAUUUAGGUAGCGCCUCGUGAAUUCAUCUCCGGGGGUAGAGCACUGUUUCGGCUAGGGGGCCAUCCCGGCUUACCAACCCGAUGCAAACUGCGAAUACCGGAGAAUGUUAUCACGGGAGACACACGGCGGGUGCUAACGUCCGUCGUGAAGAGGGAAACAACCCAGACCGCCAGCUAAGGUCCCAAAGUCAUGGUUAAGUGGGAAACGAUGUGGGAAGGCCCAGACAGCCAGGAUGUUGGCUUAGAAGCAGCCAUCAUUUAAAGAAAGCGUAAUAGCUCACUGGUCGAGUCGGCCUGCGCGGAAGAUGUAACGGGGCUAAACCAUGCACCGAAGCUGCGGCAGCGACGCUGAUGCGUUGUUGGGUAGGGGAGCGUUCUGUAAGCCUGUGAAGGUGGCCUGUGAGGGUUGCUGGAGGUAUCAGAAGUGCGAAUGCUGACAUAAGUAACGAUAAAGCGGGUGAAAAGCCCGCUCGCCGGAAGACCAAGGGUUCCUGUCCAACGUUAAUCGGGGCAGGGUGAGUCGACCCCUAAGGCGAGGCCGAAAGGCGUAGUCGAUGGGAAACGGGUUAAUAUUCCCGUACUUGGUGUUACUGCGAAGGGGGGACGGAGAAGGCUAUGUUGGCCGGGCGACGGUUGUCCCGGUUUAAGCGUGUAGGCUGGUUUUCCAGGCAAAUCCGGAAAAUCAAGGCUGAGGCGUGAUGACGAGGCACUACGGUGCUGAAGCAACAAAUGCCCUGCUUCCAGGAAAAGCCUCUAAGCAUCAGGUAACAUCAAAUCGUACCCCAAACCGACACAGGUGGUCAGGUAGAGAAUACCAAGGCGCUUGAGAGAACUCGGGUGAAGGAACUAGGCAAAAUGGUGCCGUAACUUCGGGAGAAGGCACGCUGACAUGUAGGUGAAGUGAUUUACUCAUGGAGCUGAAGUCAGUCGAAGAUACCAGCUGGCUGCAACUGUUUAUUAAAAACACAGCACUGUGCAAACACGAAAGUGGACGUAUACGGUGUGACGCCUGCCCGGUGCCGGAAGGUUAAUUGAUGGGGUCAGCGCAAGCGAAGCUCCUGAUCGAAGCCCCGGUAAACGGCGGCCGUAACUAUAACGGUCCUAAGGUAGCGAAAUUCCUUGUCGGGUAAGUUCCGACCUGCACGAAUGGCGUAAUGAUGGCCAGGCUGUCUCCACCCGAGACUCAGUGAAAUUGAACUCGCUGUGAAGAUGCAGUGUACCCGCGGCAAGACGGAAAGACCCCGUGAACCUUUACUAUAGCUUGACACUGAACAUUGAGCCUUGAUGUGCAGGAUAGGUGGGAGGCUUUGAAGUGUGGACGCCAGUCUGCAUGGAGCCGACCUUGAAAUACCACCCUUUAAUGUUUGAUGUUCUAACGUGGACCCGUGAUCCGGGUUGCGGACAGUGUCUGGUGGGUAGUUUGACUGGGGCGGUCUCCUCCUAAAGAGUAACGGAGGAGCACGAAGGUUGGCUAAUCCUGGUCGGACAUCAGGAGGUUAGUGCAAUGGCAUAAGCCAGCUUGACUGCGAGCGUGACGGCGCGAGCAGGUGCGAAAGCAGGUCAUAGUGAUCCGGUGGUUCUGAAUGGAAGGGCCAUCGCUCAACGGAUAAAAGGUACUCCGGGGAUAACAGGCUGAUACCGCCCAAGAGUUCAUAUCGACGGCGGUGUUUGGCACCUCGAUGUCGGCUCAUCACAUCCUGGGGCUGAAGUAGGUCCCAAGGGUAUGGCUGUUCGCCAUUUAAAGUGGUACGCGAGCUGGGUUUAGAACGUCGUGAGACAGUUCGGUCCCUAUCUGCCGUGGGCGCUGGAGAACUGAGGGGGGCUGCUCCUAGUACGAGAGGACCGGAGUGGACGCAUCACUGGUGUUCGGGUUGUCAUGCCAAUGGCACUGCCCGGUAGCUAAAUGCGGAAGAGAUAAGUGCUGAAAGCAUCUAAGCACGAAACUUGCCCCGAGAUGAGUUCUCCCUGAGACUUAGAGUCUCCUGAAGGAACGUUGAAGACGACGACGUUGAUAGGCCGGGUGUGUAAGCGCAGCGAUGCGUUGAGCUAACCGGUACUAAUGAACCGUGAGGCUUAACCUU
Molecule: ribosomal RNA, 2902 nt
Filed under: Salmonella enterica subsp. enterica serovar Oranienburg
Lineage: Bacteria; Pseudomonadati; Pseudomonadota; Gammaproteobacteria; Enterobacterales; Enterobacteriaceae
Description: bacterial LSU rRNA
Rfam family: Bacterial large subunit ribosomal RNA
Source: RNAcentral